UACGUAGGUCCCGAGCGUUGUCCGGAUUUACUGGGUAUAAAGGGUGCGUAGGCGGUUUUGUGCGUCAGAGGUGAAAGGUCAGUGCUUAACAUUGAUACUGCCUUUGAAACGGCGAAACUUGAGUAUGAGAGAGGUUUGUAGAAUUCCUGGUGUAGCGGUGAAAUGCGUAGAUAUCAGGAGGAAUACCGGUGGCGAAGGCGGCAAACUGGCUCAUAACUGACGCUGAGGCACGAAAGCGUGGGGAUCAAACAGG
Molecule: ribosomal RNA, 253 nt
Filed under: uncultured bacterium
Lineage: Bacteria
Description: partial 16S ribosomal RNA
Rfam family: Bacterial small subunit ribosomal RNA
Source: RNAcentral